GACGAACGCUGGCGGCGUGCUUAACACAUGCAAGUCGAACGGAAAGGCCCUGCUUUUGUGGGGUGCUCGAGUGGCGAACGGGUGAGUAACACGUGAGUAACCUGCCCUUGACUUUGGGAUAACUUCAGGAAACUGGGGCUAAUACCGGAUAGGAGCUCCUGCUGCAUGGUGGGGGUUGGAAAGUUUCGGCGGUUGGGGAUGGACUCGCGGCUUAUCAGCCUGUUGGUGGGGUAGUGGCUUACCAAGGCUUUGACGGGUAGCCGGCCUGAGAGGGUGACCGGCCACAUUGGGACUGAGAUACGGCCCAGACUCCUACGGGAGGCAGCAGUGGGGAAUAUUGCACAAUGGGCGGAAGCCUGAUGCAGCAACGCCGCGUGCGGGAUGACGGCCUUCGGGUUGUAAACCGCUGUCGCCUGUGACGAAGCGUGAGUGACGGUAAUGGGUAAAGAAGCACCGGCUAACUACGUG
RNAcentral lists this ribosomal RNA (468 nucleotides) under uncultured bacterium. RNAcentral's name for it is "partial 16S ribosomal RNA". It matches the Rfam family "Bacterial small subunit ribosomal RNA", at positions 28 to 507 of the family's 1533-position model. The record is from RNAcentral.